Long non-coding RNA from Haliotis rufescens (red abalone), 2113 nucleotides. RefSeq lists it as uncharacterized. NCBI's taxonomy places the organism in Eukaryota, Metazoa, Mollusca, Gastropoda, Lepetellida, Haliotidae. The record is from RefSeq and is a predicted model, not a curated record. The transcript has 3 exons.
UCUGCAAGGACGUAAAAGAUGGUCACAGCAGAAGAUUUGGUGAAUAUCUCACUGUGGUGGGCGAGAGACUAUCCUGUGACAUCAGUGAUGCACCUUGUCCUGCCAUCAACGACGAGGAUGCCUUAUCCUUGCAUGAUUAUGAGCGACUACUAAGGGAACAGUUCAACAUCUACACGUGUCUCCACCCUUCGGCUUCCUCCACAGAGGACCACCGUACCAGGUGCAGCCUUAUGUGAGGGAACAGUUUCCUAUCUACACGUGCCCCAACCCUUCAGCUCCCUCUACACACGUCCUCUGUACCAGGUGCAGCCUAUUGUGAGGGAACAUGAACAGUUUCCCAUCUACACGUGUCUCAACCCUUCAGCUUCCUCUACACACGUCCUCUGUACCAGGUGUAGCCUUAUGUGAGGGAACAGUUUCCCAUCUACACGUGCCCCAACCCUUCAGCUCCCUCUACACACGUCCUCUGUACCAGAUGCAGCCUAUUGUGAGGGAACAGUUUCCCAUCUACACGUGUCUCAACCCUUCAGCUUCCUCUACACACGUCCUCUGUACCAGGUGUAGCCUUAUGUGAGGGAACAGUUUCCCAUCUACACGUGCCCCAACCCUUCAGCUCCCUCUACACACGUCCUCUGUACCAGGUGCAGCCUAUUGUGAGGGAACAGUUUCCCAUCUACACGUGUCUCAACCCUUCAGCUUCAUCUACAGACGUCCACAGUACCAUGUGUUGCCUAAUGUUAGGGAACAGUUCCACAUCCACACGUCUGUCCAUCCAUCAGCUUCCUCUACAGAAGACAUCAGUACCAGGUACAGCCUCAUGUGAGGGAACAGCCAAAGGGAAACGUUUACCCCGAUGUGCGAUGCAAGGAAAGCUUGAGGCCCUGAUGUGUCAUAUGCAUUGUUUCGAUAUAUCAAGCAGAGGAUCACAUUGACAUUAACAUUUAUGAAAUAUUAUUGCUUUUAACAGUAUUAUAGAACAUAGCUUGCGGCAGUAGCAGACCUCCAAACAUGGUUCUUCUUUUCAACAGUUUAAUAUUGAUUAUGUUUGUUUAAAAGUGUACAUAUUGGUGCAACUAGUUCUUUUAUGCCUUCAUUAUUGUAAUUGUCUGUUUGACUGUGUUUGUUUUCAUUUAUUAUUUGGCAUCGUUUACUAUGUGAGGGUCUCUGGAAGCCUUCUAUGAUUUAUUUUUAACCAAUAAUCCGGUUGAAUUUAUUUCUAUAGGUUUCGUAUUGUCUUACUGUAAAUAGUUCCACACUGAUAUCCUUGUUUUAUUCUUGAUGAUACAUAUUUGCUUUCAUUGUGCCAGUUUUCGUUUCCUACCAAAUUGACUGCUUUUUACAAAGAAAAUGGGUAAAAUGGAUCAUAUAUGUAUACAUACAGAUAAAGUUCAGAACAGGGUUAUUAAAUAAUUCCAGUUCAAAGGUUUCUUUUUCAAGUACUGAAAUGGAAAUAUCGAAAUUAACUUCUGAUGAUGUCACUGCUGUUUACAAGGAAAUCUGUGCGAAGAAUAUGGGUAUGUCAUAUAUUAAUCUGAUUUGUAGACUUUGAAUAGUUACUUCAGUGGAAAUACUAACAUUAUAAGCUGACAUUAAAAAAACGUGUAAAUUAAUAAUUGUUUCAAGCAUUUGUUGAUGAUAUAUGUUCGUGUCGGUUCUGAUUGUACUAUUCACACACGUGACAGUUAUUGAACUUUCACAACAUAAACAACAUAACAGGACAUUGAAAUUGAGGUCGAAAUUAUAACUCAUGGUCUUUCCGUUUAUGUAUUAAUACUUCAACUGAUACAAAGAGAUAAAUGAAUGUAUUUUAAACCUUUUUUAUUUCGUUUCUAUUUCCUUCUGACGUACGCUUCUGACAAUUCACAAUUAUAGUGAGGACAUGCUCUUUGUAUUUAUGAUACUGAUAUUGCCUUUUUUAAGCCUUUUAUAAAAGAAUUUGUGAAAUAAAUCACUUGAAUGUCACAAUCAUAUGUCAAAUGCAUUCCAAGAAGGAAAGUUUUGAUUGAAUCGCUUUAGCCAUCAUGAAUACUCAGUAAUUGGCAACCAUCAAUUUGUAUGACACACUGCCAACCACAGUUAUAGUGAUGCAUCUAUGAUAGCAUCCUGGGGUGGA